This 541-nucleotide ribosomal RNA is filed under the name uncultured bacterium. RNAcentral describes it as "bacterial SSU rRNA". It matches the Rfam family "Bacterial small subunit ribosomal RNA", at positions 777 to 1312 of the family's 1533-position model. The record is from RNAcentral.
AAUAGAUACCCGGGUAGUCCUAGCUGUAAACGAUGAGCACUGGGUUGAGGGGACUUCCACAUCCUCUCGGCCGUAGCGAAAGCGUUAAGUGCUCCGCCUGGGGAGUAUGGCCGCAAGGCUGAAACUCAAAGGAAUUGACGGGGGCUCACACAAGCGGUGGAGGAUGUGGCUUAAUUCGAGGCUACGCGAAGAACCUUAUCCUAGAUUUGACAUGGUUGAGAAUCUCCUUGAAAGAGGAGAGUGCCCUUCGGGGAGCUCUUUCACAGGUGCUGCAUGGCUGUCGUCAGCUCGUGUCGUGAGAUGUUGGGUUAAGUCCCUUAACGAGCGAAACCCUUAUCUUUAGUUGCCAGCGGGUAAAGCCGGGGACUCUAAAGAGACUGCCGGUGUCAAACCGGAGGAAGGUGGGGAUGACGUCAAGUCCUCAUGGCCUUUAUGUCUAGGGCUGCACACGUCCUACAAUGGCACGUACAAAGGGAAGCCAAGCCGCGAGGCCGCGCUAAUCCCAAAAAGCGUGCCCCAGUUCGGAUUGCAGGCUGCUAAC